Molecule: ribosomal RNA, 253 nt
Filed under: uncultured bacterium
Lineage: Bacteria
Description: partial 16S ribosomal RNA
Rfam family: Bacterial small subunit ribosomal RNA
Source: RNAcentral
UACGUAGGGGGCUAGCGUUGUCCGGAAUCAUUGGGCGUAAAGCGCGGGUAGGCGGUCCGGUAAGUCCGCUGUGAAAGUCGGGGGCUCAACCCUCGAAUGCCGGUGGAUACUGUCGGGCUAGAGUGCGGAAGAGGCGAGUGGAAUUCCAGGUGUAGCGGUGAAAUGCGUAGAUAUCUGGAGGAACACCGGUGGCGAAGGCGGCAUCCUGGACCGGUAUUGACGCUGAGGCGCGAAAGCUAGGGGAGUAAACGGG